RNAcentral lists this ribosomal RNA (760 nucleotides) under Limtongia smithiae. RNAcentral's name for it is "LSU rRNA". It matches the Rfam family "Eukaryotic large subunit ribosomal RNA", at positions 161 to 940 of the family's 3401-position model. Lineage: Eukaryota; Fungi; Ascomycota; Lipomycetes; Lipomycetales; Lipomycetaceae. The record is from RNAcentral.
UCUUUGACGUUGCGCCUUGCAUAAGUUCCUUGGAACAGGACUGUCAUAGAGGGUGAGAAUCCCGUAUAUGGUGGGGCUUGCAAUCUUUUGUAAAGUGCUUUCGACGAGUCGAGUUGUUUGGGAAUGCAGCUCUAAGUGGGUGGUAAAUUCCAUCUAAAGCUAAAUAUUGGCGAGAGACCGAUAGCGAAGAAGUACAGUGAUGGAAAGAUGAAAAGCACUCCGAAAGGAGGGUGAAAUAGGACGUGAAAUUGUUGAAAGGGAAGUGCUUGGGAUCAGUCUUUAGUUUUAGUGAUCAAUUUUCCUUCUGGAUUAUGCACUCGCUAUUUCUUUGGCCAACAUCAGUUUUUGCGGCAGGAUAAUGACAUUGGAAUGUGGCUUCUUCGGGAGUGUUAUAGACUUUGUUGAUACUGCUUGCUUGGACUGAGGACCGCGCUUCGGCUAGGAUGUUGGCAUAAUGAUCUUAAGCAGCCCGUCUUGAAACACGGACCAAGGAGUCUAACAACUAUGCGAGUGUUUGGGUGUUAAACCCGUACGCAUAAUGAAAGUGAACGUAGGUGGGAACCUUUUGGUGCACCAUCGACCGAUCCUGAUGUUCUCGGAUGGAUUUGAGUAAGAGCAUAGCUGUUGGGACCCGAAAGAUGGUGAACUAUGCCUGAAUAGGGUGAAGCCAGAGGGAAACUCUGGUGGGAGGCUCGUAGCGAUUCCUGACGUGCAAAUCGAUCGUCAAAUUUGGGUAAAAGGGGCGAAAGACUAAUCGAAC